UACGGAGGAUGCGAGCGUUAACCGGAUUUAUUGGGUUUAAAGGGUGCGUAGGCGGACGCUUAAGUCAGCGGUAAAAUUGCGGGGCUCAACCUCGUCGAGCCGUUGAAACUGGGUGUCUUGAGUGGGCGAGAAGUACGCGGAAUGCGUGGUGUAGCGGUGAAAUGCAUAGAUAUCACGCAGAACUCCGAUUGCGAAGGCAGCGUACCGGCGCCCAACUGACGCUGAAGCACGAAGGCGUGGGUAUCGAACAGG
Molecule: ribosomal RNA, 252 nt
Filed under: uncultured bacterium
Lineage: Bacteria
Description: partial 16S ribosomal RNA
Rfam family: Bacterial small subunit ribosomal RNA
Source: RNAcentral